Molecule: long non-coding RNA, 16546 nt
Filed under: Physcomitrium patens
Lineage: Eukaryota; Viridiplantae; Streptophyta; Bryopsida; Funariales; Funariaceae
Description: long non-coding RNA (PPAT_LNC006679)
Source: RNAcentral
AGUUAAAAUCCUAUUGAAUUUCACUCAAACUUUAGACCAAACAUAAUUAAAUCUUAAACCCUAAUAAAUCCUAAAUCCUAAGUCAAAUCCUAAACAAACCUUAAAUUAAAUCCUAAAUCAAAUCCUAUUUCAAAUCCUAAAUCCUAAACCAAAUCCUAAAUCCUAAUCCAAACUCUAAUCCAACCCUAAAUCCUAAUCCAAAUCCUAAAUCCUAAAUCAAAUCUUAAAUCAAACCCUAAUCCAAACCCUAAAUCAAACCCUAACCAAAUCCUAAACCCUAAUCCAAACCCUAAUCCAAUCCUAAAUCCUAACCAAAUCCUAAUCCAAACCCUAAACUCUAAAUCAAACCCUAAAUCGAAUCCUAGCCAAACCCUAAUCCAAAUCCUAAUAAUUCCUAUGACAGAUUUAAACCUUAAUAUCUAAUGAAUAAACCGUUGAUCUCAAUUCAAAAUUUGCAUACUUCUUAAAAACCAAGUUUAAAACAAGCACAAAAAAAUUUGAAAAGGAUCGGAGAACCAAAUUGACGAAAACCUCAAAAAUGUGUUCGGGUAUUAGCCGGCCUCCUUCUCCAAUCUUGAUGCCAACCUUCCAGAGCCAAUUUCUCUUCUUUGCGCCAUUCGAUUGGUUUCAAAUUUCUCAUGGACAUAGAAAAAUAAUUCUAAUACGCUCUCACAUAAGUGUUACUCUAAUCCAACUAGUAGAUUACAUGAAAUCUUAAAAACCCUUACUGGACUUGAAAUUCCACUUUCUGAGACCUUAACCCGCUUAAACCUCAAUAUCUCUCACUUCAACCGUUAGAUCGAGCUCAAAUUUACAACAUGUAUUAAACACAACUAUAAUCAUGAACCCAAAAAAUUUCACCCAUAGAUCUGCAACAAAACUCUCGAAAUCACUCAAAACAUAAACCCUAUUUUAUUUCAUAAAAUCCAAGUCAUCCGAAACAAACCUCCACUUUACAAAGCUCUUACAAAGUCAUAUCAACUCCAAAUCAUCUAAAUUUAAUGUUCAUAGAAACCCUAUCCAAUCUUCUAUCAAAUUCCACUCUCCAAUCUGCCAAAGAGUCCCGGAGUCAUCGUCGAGACUUGGUUUUGUACCUCAGGGUCUGAUUUCGAUCCUAGUUCAUAACCGGCCCUCUCUGGGUGUCAACUUUUGUCUUCUUGAGGUAAUAUUUACUAAUUUGCACUCCUAACUCCUCCCUACAUAUGUCUAUAUUCUUUAUUUUUCUAAUCUACCUUAUUUAUGGCCUUAUAAAGUAAAUAGAAGCAUAAUUUGUAAAAAAGUAGUAUUAGCACUUUUAAUUUUUCUACCCUUUUACUAAUAUCUAUUUUUCCAUGAUAAUUUGCUACAAUAUUUUUGAAGUGAGAUCCUCAAAACAUGAUGUAUUUCUUCAUCCUUUCACCUAUUAGUCAUAUUAUAUCAUGACAUCCACUCCCCCCUGAAUCUGUGCAUCCUCCGGCAAGUACCAACAAUUCUUCAAUAUGUUGAUGUCGAAUGUUCUUCAUCUUGGUACAAUUCUUAAUUUUCAGUGUGCUCUUCUAUUCCAAUCUCGAUAUCUUGUAUUGAAGUUUGUUCUUCAUCAAAAAAAAUGUCUUCAUCUCUUUGUUUAAAUAACUUGAUUCAUUUGCCUGCUAUGAGGAGCUUCGAUUUUGUACCAUCAAGUUCUUGUAAUGAAUAUGUUCCAUUGUUGUGUGCCUUUUUGACAAUAUAUGGUCCAAACCAUCUCUUUGCAAAUUUCUUCAUAGUGCUAUGUUGAUUGUCUAAGCUACUAUCAUAAACUAAUACCCAAUCACCAUCUUCAAUAGCCUUAGGUCGUAGUCAAUGUUUUUUAUCAAAUCUUUCUUUAUUCUUUUUCCUUACUUCUUUCAAUUUUUUUAUUACUAUUUUAAUAUCAUUGGGCCUUCUUUCUAGGUGUUGAAUCCGUAAUGCUAAAAGUUCUUCUCUAUUGAGAUCAUUUUUCCAAGGCAAUACACCCCAUGUACGUAUUAUAUCUUCUAUUGGUAUUAUUGGCUUUUGUCCAUAUAUUAAUUCAGAGGGCAUAUAACCUGUUAUCAAACUAUGAGUUGUACAAUCUGCCCACAAUGCAAAUGGUAGUAGUCUAGGCCAUUCAUGUGCUUUGCGAUUGCAUGCCUUUACUAAUGCCUUAACAAUAGGUGAAUGUCCAUGCUCACUUUUUCUAUUACCUUCUAGUUUAUAUGCUGUUGUCAAAGAAAGUUUAAUUCCUAUUCUACUAAAAAAAUCUCAUGCUUCUUUUGCAUCCAAUUCACUCCUAUCUGCCGUAAUAUUUUCAAUACAUCCAUAAUGACAAAUAACUUCUUCUAAUAGAAAUCAACAUACACCUUUAGUAUCCUUUGUUUUUAAUGCUCGUCCUUCAACCAUAUUCGAUAAAUCUUCUCGUGUAAGUACCAAAUACUUCAUUUGCCCAAGUCUCAUAGGCAUUGCCACUAAAUCCAUCACCCACUUGUAAUGUAAAGCCAAAUGGUAUAUUAGAUGUAAUCCAUCUCGAUGCCGAAUAUUUGAAUACACUUGGCAAGUCUCACAAGCUUCUAUAAAUUUUGUUAUGUCUUUGUACAUUCCUUUCCACUAAUAUUUUUCCUUUAACUUAGUGAAUGUUGCCCAAAUACCUCAAUGCCCUGCCCAUAAAUUUUCAUGAAAUUCUUUAAUAAUCUUUUGUUCAGCUUUUAAACCACAUAUCACCCUUUUUGGUACUUCUCCUCUCUUUUUUGGAUGCUUCCAUAAAAAUCCAUCAUGUAAAAAAUAUUCAUAGGCUUUCUUACGAAUUUUCUUAAAUUCUUGAUCCGUCCAACCUUUUUGUCGUUUUAAUAUGCUCAAAUACUCUCCAACAUCUUUCCAUUCAUUUUCAUAUAAAUCUCUUAAAAAUACUUCUAAUGGUAUAUUAAAACAUACACCCUUUUCCUUUGAUAAUGCAUUGGUAUAAAAUUUUGUACCCACAUCAUCUUCUAAAUCAAUCAUCUUUUCUUCAUCAUUAUACCUUGCUCUCAAUAAUAUAUUUGCAACUGAAUUUUCUUUCCCUGCAAUAUGUUUAAAUUCAAGAUUCAUAGAUUUGAUAUAUGCUAUCCACCUCAACAUAACAAUAUCAGGAGUUGAACAACUUGUAAUCAUGCCUAACAAAGGUAGACAAUCUGUUUCUAUAACUUUUGAUGUUCCAAUCAAGUACUCUUUUUUAUUUUUCAUAGCUAUUAUUAUACUCCAUAAUUCUCUUUUGAUUUGCAUAUAUGCCCUUUGCUUGGAAUUCAAUACCUUUGCUCCAAAACUUACUACAUAUCUAUUUCCUUGUUCAUCAUCUUGUCCAACCGCCCAACCUAUUCCAAUUGGACUUGCAUCAACUGUUAAUACCACUGGCCUUCCACCUUCAUAAUUUACUUUCUUCAAAGUUAGAGAUGAAGAAAGAAGUUCUUUCAAUUUUUCCAUAGCUCUCCGUUGUUCUUUUUUCCAUUGAAAUUUUUGAUUCUUUCUUAACAACUCAUACAAUGGAUCUGUUAUAUGUGCAAAGUGAGGUAUCCAUAUAUGAUAGAAAAUACAUGCUCCUAAAAAUCUUCUCACUUCCAUUGUAUUUGUACAUUCUUUCAUCUUUUUAAUAAUAUCAAUCUUUUAUAUACUUGGCUUACGUCCAUAUGAACCACAUAUGUGUCCUACCACCAAAAUUUCUUUUACUCCAAAUAUUGAUUUUGUCCCCGAUAAGGUUAAAUGAACUUCUUCCAAUCUUUUCAAAAUCUUCUCACAAUCUUUAAUAUGAUCUGCCACAAACUUCCUACAUCCCUUUGAAUCUAAAGUUUCAUCCUUUCUUUCUUCUUCACAUCCCUUAAUAGGUACAUCAUCUAAGAAAGGCAUUGUUAUUCUUGGAAUAAAAUCUCUUAAUACCUUAUGCAUUCCAUUCAUCAUAUGUGCUACAGAAUUUAUAGCCCCUUGUAGUAAUGUGCACAUUCUAACCAAUCCUAAUGGUGUCUUCAUAGUUAUCAAAUCCCUACUUUAUAUUGCCAAUUGAAAUUGAUCAUAAACUGAAUAAAGAUCACCCAUUGAGUAGAUAGCUCUUCCAGCAAAUGCUUCUGCAAAUUCAUCCACAAUUGGACUUGAUCCUAUAUUUCUAAUAGUCACUUUAUUUUUGGGUUGCAUAUCUUGUAUAAAUCUCAUUGUUCCAUUUUUCUUUGGCACUGUAAACCAUCGAUUAGAAUAAGGUGCUAUAGAUGGUUCCAAAAUUUCCAUUUUAAUCUUUUCAUUGAGUAAAUCUACUAACUAAGAUAAAUACAUUCUUGGUACUGAAAUUGGUCGUAAAUUCCAUGGUUCAUGAGGAAUAAUAAAAAUAACCAUGGAUGCUACAAUAUUUGGAUCAACACACCGAAUUUCAUGUGCUUCAAAUGCGAAAGCUUUUCUAUGAUGAAAAAACAUAUCCUUAAAAUAUUUUUCUUCACAUUUUAUCAAAAAUCCAUCACCUCGAAUAUUUAACCCAUCUAAUAUAACAUCCAUAAAUUUAUGCCCUAUCUUUCUUGGAUCUCUUAGAUUUAGUUGUGUCGAUGCUCUACUUAUCAUUUCUUCACAAUCAGAUGGUAAUGGCAAAGCCAUUGGUUUGACUUUCUUUGCUACUGAUUUAUACUUAGUUUCAAUAUAUACCUCUUGGCAACUUAAAUUUUUUUUAAAUCCUUGAAUUUCAUCAUAAAAUUCUUUAGAACAUACAUUAAUAACUCUAUUCUCUACUUGUAAUCCACAUUAUAAUAGAUAAUUUAAUUCCUCCAUAGUAUCUGUAAAACCUACUUCUUCAUAUGCUCUUGAAAUAAAUUCAUUUUCAACCAAUUCUCCAUUUUCUUUCAAAUUUUUUUCAAUAUUUUUAAUAUAACAUCUGUCCCUCUUUUUUAUUUUGUUAAUAGUCUUAAAGUCAAUACACAAUCUUGUGUCAUCCUAAUAAGUCCGGUAGAUAACAAUUCUUCUUCUAAUUUAAGUGAGAGCUUUUUUUUCUCUAAUCCAUUGCAACUCCACCUUACAAUGGUGUGUGGUCAAAAUCCUCAAGGUCUUUAAAUUUCUCUUUUGAUAUUAGUUUCUCUCUCAAGUUAUCACGAUUUCUCUCAUGAUUAGCACAAACAGUUAAAAAUUGAACUGCUUUCAUCCCAUCUUGGCUUCUUAUUCUUGCAUAAGGUGAACCAUCAUCCAUUACAUUUGUUUCCAUUCGUGUGGAAAUAAUAUAUGGUUGUCCCAAUAUAAUAGGGUAUGUAGACAUGUCUUGCACAAAGAAAUUCUGUUCAUGAAUAACAUCUCCAAUUGUCACUUUGAUAUUUGGACAUGCUCCAUACAAAUCUUCCUUUGAAUUAUUUGCAGCUCUUAUCAUCCACCCAUGUUCAGUAUCAAUAGGCCAUUUUUCCUUGUUAUAUAAUUCCUUUGACAUCAAAUUGAUUUCAAAACCAUGAUCAAUUAAUGCUACAACUGGUUCUUCUAAAUUUCCCAAUUUUAUUAAAGUCUCCGUUGUGUCCUUAUCCAAUGACUUCUAGAAUAAUGGCUAGAAGCUUGAAUGACAUCUUCUUUUUUUGCAAACCUUACUUGCAAGACAUCUCCAAAAUUUUGUAUUUCAUCUUCUUCAUCUUCAUUUCUUUCCAUUGCUCUUAUUCCUUGUGCAUUUGAUGUCAUAGAGUCUCCUAUAGAUUAUCAUUUUCUCUUUAUUGUAUCAAUAAUAACUUCAUGAAACUCACGCUUUGCAAUUCCUAGAAUUUCACCAAUUAUGAAUUCAAUCUUUUCACUUAAAAUCCGCUCUUCCAAUACCUUCUUUAAAUCUCUAGCUGCUUCAAUAUCUGAUUGUAAUUUAUAAGCAGGAGCCUUUGCUUUUUCUUUUCCAAUUUUCCUCUCUUUUGUAGAAAUAUUCUCCAUUAUCUCUUCAUGAAUAGAAUUCUUUUGUUGUCGUAUUUUUUUCCUCCUUGUAGUUCUUUUUGAGGGCCCUUCAUUAUUUCCAUCUCUCCUUUGUUUUUUUUCUAUUAAUGCUUCAUGUUGACUCCUUGCAAUAUGAGCAUGUACAGAUAAUCUAUCUACUGGAUCAUCUCAUCUAGUAAUUUGUCGAAUGUUAUUACCAACAUGUUUUAAAUCAUCUCUAGUAAAAUUUCUCCUUUCAGCAUACCUCAUUGCACUUGUCCACAAAGAACUAGAUUCUCCUAAAAACUCAAGAUUUAUACUUAAAUAUCUACUAGAAUCUACUUCUACCCAAUAUGUUGAUGCUUCAUUGUUUGAGAUUGUCUGCACUUUAAAAGUAUCUCCAAUAAAUAACUUCAUUCUUCCUUUACCAAAAUUUGUUUCUAAUUUUUCUCCAUUUUCUUUUGAGUGUAUCAUACCAUCUCUAAAAAAACAACUCCUUUACGUAAUGCCUUUGUAAAUUCUUCACAUUUCUUCCUUGAGUGAUCUAUGCUAUCACACCACAUGCAUCUAUGUACUACACCCUCUAUUAGCCUUGGUCUUUGUUUUGUUGAUAUUCUUGAUGAUUGACCUUUCUCUUCAAGUUUUAUAAAUUUUAUUUAUAAAUCUCUCAUCCCACAUAUGAUUUCAUCAAUUUCCAUUUCUUCUUUCUUUGUUGUAGCCAUUGAAGGUUGAAUCAAAGAUGUCGGAUGGAUACUAGACACCUUUAUCUUAGAUGCUAGUAAUGGUCUUUGAUCUUUUCCCAUAUCUUUUCUCUUUUCUCUUUUUGUCAACAUCCUUACAGUAUCCUCUACCCUUUCCUAAUUUGUUGUCAAUCCUUCAUCUUCUUCUUUAUCUUCAAGCAUGAAUUCCAACUUCUCUUACAACUUUCCAUCAGCUACUUGAAGAAAAAGCUCCACCUUACUUGGAUCCAAUAAUUAUCUUUCUUUCUUUGAUAAAGAAAAAUAUUGCUUUUCAAACUCCCUUAAUAAUUCUAUUAUUAGAAGAUCCUUCUCUGGCUUUUCAAUCCAUUCAAAAAAAGACCUUUUUGUAAUCCUAUCACUAUCUUCUAAGAAAAACUCAUCCUUCAAAGCUUGAGAAAAUUUCUCCCAUGAACCUCCAAAGUAUUGUAUAAGAAACUUAACUUGAUUUCUUAUCUCUCGUGUAGAGGCUAAUUCAAAUAAUUGAACCAUCUCGCUUUCUGAAAUACGCUUCAAUUUCAUUUCUUUUACAUAACAUCUUAAAUAUUUUGUAAUAUCCUUUCCUUCAAAUUCAUCGUUCUUGUCCACGACUGCUUCUAAUGCUUUGUUAGCCAUAUUCUCUUUGUGAUCUUUAACAUGUUGCUCUUGUUGUUGCAUGAAUAAGGUCAAAGCUUCAAACAUGCUUGUAGAGUUAGGAUCAAAAUGUAUACCUUGUCCUCCAAAUGAAGCUCUUCUUUCAACUCCACUUGAAGCACUAUCCAAACUGCCUCCUUCCAUUCUCCUUUAAUUCCUUCUCCAAAAUUCAAAUAGUAAAAAUAAUAAUGAAUUCCUUCCACCUCAAGCAUUUCACAUUCUCAUAAUACGUGCUUCUUUGCUCGAGAACACGCCGGGCGUCUGGCUCUAGAAGAUAGUAUGGAGAUUCGCCAAUAUUCAAGCAGUCUAUCGGUUAUUGACUGUUGGAAUAUAAACGAUUGCAAGAAUACACCGUAAAUCUAUAUGGAUGCCCUUCGACUGCUUGCCGAAGUCCUUUUUGUCCCAGCCGGUAGGUCUCUAGACAUUACAGAGAACCCCGAACAACCCAAACUGCUAAUCUUUGAUACCACUUUAUACUCACGAUCUUGUAUCCACUGACUAUCUCGUUAGUUUAAUCCAAUAAAUUUCAAUCACUCCACAUACGCAAUCCUAUAGACACCCUUUUAAUUCUUCAAUCACAGACGUAACUUUGAUUUCACAAAACAGUCAAGAGUAAUCAAACCCACUUCAUUAAAAAUCCCGAUUCACCAUUACAACACUGACUUCAGCAACGAUUGCCUCAGUCUUUCCAAAACCCUAUGAAGAAAAAAACCCAAUUCUCUGUCUUUUCUUCCCCAACCCGAAGCAUGAAGCUCUUUCCUUGAUCCUUCUCAAAACCUUCAAAAAAACUAUUUUUUUCCCCCCUCUCAUUUCUUAACCUUAAUUCUAAAUUUCUUCAAUCUUCCAUCUUGGAUCCGAAAUUGGUUCUCGCCGUCAGAGCUUGGAUCUGAAAUUGGCUCUCGUCGUCAGAGCUUUCUCCUCCGUUUUUAUCCUUAAGAGAUCUUUUUAUCGAAAAGACGUUCCCAGAACAGCACAAAGGACGGAACAGCCUGAAACAAAAUCGGAGACCCGUAAUCGGGACCACAUUGAGUCGCCUGACCAAUUCAGGUCUCAUAUUGGGUAAGAGUCUAGUAGUAGGAUCCGGAUGUUCCCGUAAUUGGAUCAAAUUGGUCCUUCGCGUCAGAUUGGCUGAGGCUUGUAGUAAGACCUAGAUUUUCCCGUAAUUAGACUGCAUUGGAUUGUCCGACCAAUUCAAGUCUCAUAUUGGGUAAGAGGACCUGGAUUGGAUGUCUUGAAAUUGGAUCCAAUUGGCUCUUCGAACCAGGCUCACCCGUCGUUGAAUUGGUCCUUUUCUUUUUUUGCUGACUCCCGUUAUUUGAAUCGAACGGAGCAUUUCAGUAUGCCCCGGUUGACUGUAACGGGGUGAUUGACCCUGGCCUCUCAGUAUUUGCACUGGAAUUGGUGGUUGCCCCUAAUAUUAAAGAUAACUAAAUAUUAAUAAAAUUAUCCUUUCUUUAUAUUUUCAUGGUAUACUCGUAUUAUAACACGACAUUCACCCCCUCUGAACCUAUGCAUCCUCCGGUAUGCACCAAUUUAUCCAAUUGCUGUUUGAUUUAAAAUAUAUCCUCUACGUCUUUGUCCAAUUCGUCUUCGUCACCUUCAUUAUCCAAAUCACUUUCAUCUUCUUGCUGCGGAAUCUCUAUACCUUCAUUAAGGUCUUCCAUAUUCAUCUCCGCGUGUCUUUGUUUAAAUAUUUUUACUCGCUUCCCUGCAACUGGUAUUUUCAAUUUUAUACCAUCUAACUCUCGUAAUGAGUAAGUCGCAUUAUCAUGAACAGUUGUUACUACGUAUGGUCCAAACCAACGUUUUAAAAAUUUCCGCAAAGUACUAUGUUGAUUAUCCAGACUAUUGUCAUAAACAACUACCCAAUCACCUUCCUCGAUUGCUUUAGGUCUCAAUCGAUGUUGCUUAUCGAAUCACGCUUUGUUUUGUAAUCUUGCUGUUUUUAACCUUUCCAAUGCUAUCUGCACAUCUUCCGAUCUUUGCUCCAAUUGUCGAAUCCUAACAGCCAAAAGUUCUUCUCUUGUCAAUCCAUCUUCCCAUGGUAGCAUACUCCAAGUAAGUACCUUUUCUUCAAUCGGCAUAAUUGAUUUUCGACCUGUCAUAAGUUCUACUGGCAUAUAUCCUGUCACCGAAUUAUGUGUUGUUCGAUCAGCCCAUAAUACAAAUGACAAAAGCUGUGGCCACUCUCUAACUUUCCCAUUACAAGCUUUAACUAAUGCUUUCACAAUCGGUGGGUGACCGCGUUCGCUUUUUGCAUUCCCUUCUGGAUUAUAAGCAGUAGUUAGUGAUAGUUUAACUCCACAUCUUUCAAAGAACUUACGAGCUUUUUGUGCAUUUAAUUCUCCAUGAUCUGCAGUGAUUUUUCCUAUGCAUCCGUAGCGGCAAAUGACAUCUUCAAGCAAAAACCUACAAAUCCCCUCUGUAGAUUUUGUCCUCAAUGCUCUUCUUUCUACUUGAUUUGAUAAAUCUUCACGAGUUAAAACCAAAUAUCUCAUCUGCCAUAAUCCAACUGGCAUAAUAACCAAAUCAACAACCCAUUUAAAAUGAAUAGCCAGAGGAUACGUAGGAUGAAGACCAUCUCGAUGUCGGAUAUUAGAAUACGAUUGACAGAUUUCACAUGACUCUACAAAUGAGAGCACACCUCGAUACAUAUUUUUCCACCAAUAUCGUUCCUUGAAUUUAGCAAAAGUAGCCCAGAUUCCUCUAUGCCCUGCCCAUAAACUAUCAUGAAACUCUUUUAAUAAUUUUAGUUUUUCUUCUUUUUUGCCUAUCACUUGUUGUGGCAUCCCAAUUCCUUUCUUCGGUCUAUUCUAUAAGAAUCCAUCUCAAAGUAAAAAUCCAUAUGCUUUUUUUCUUAUUUGUUUGAAUUUUUUUAUAGACCAAUUCCCCUGCUUAGACAAGGUAUUCAAGUAAUGACCAAUAUCCAAUAAUUUUCCUUCAUAAGAUUCUUCAAGAAAUAGCUUGUCCUCCCUGUUGAGAUUUGAUAUUGAAUAGAAUUUCAAUCCGACGUCAUCAAUGUCUUCAACCAUUUCGUCCUCCCUCUCGUAUCUUGCUCGAGAUACCAUGUCUGUUACUAAAUUGUCCUUCCCAAUAACAUGCUUAAAUUCCAGAUUUAGUGACUUAAUAUAAGCAAUCCAUCUCAACAUUGCAAUAUCUGGCGUUGAAUAGUUAAUAAUCAUUCCAAGCAAUGGCAAGCAAUCUGUUUCAAUUACUACUACUGCCCCAAUCAAAUAGUCCUUUUCAGCUUUCAUAGCCGAAACAACUCCCCAAAGUUCUCUUUUGACUUGCGAAUAUGCACGCUGACGAAUACUUAAAACUUUAGCCCCAAAUCGAACUGCAAAUCUACUCCCAUUCGAAUCAUCUUGACCCACCGCCCAUCCAACGGCAAUUGGACUAGCGUCUACAGUAAGAAUCACUGGUCUAUUGCACUUAUAAUCAACCUUCCUCAAUAUUGGAGGUGACAUCAAUAAUUUCUUCAAUCUUUGCAUUGCCUGAAUAUGCCUUUCUUUCCAUUCAAAUCGGUAACCCUUGCGUAACAGUUCAUAUAAUGGAUCCGCUAUGUGAGCAAAAUGAGGGAUCCAGAUUCGAUAAAAUACACAUGCACCCAAAAACCUGCGAACCUUUGUUAAAGAAUCACAAUCCUCUUUCAUCCUUUCAAUUGCAUCAACUUUAGUCGGAUCUGGUUUUCUUCUAUAAGAUCCACAUAAAUGUCCAACAAUCACAACCUCUCGUACUCCAAAUACGGACUUCAUACCCGAUAAUGUAAGAUGAAUUUCUCCAAGCCAAGUUAAAAUCUUUUCAUAAUCUUGUAUAUGAUCAACAACAUAUUUGCGACACCCCCUCGUAUCUAAAGUUUCAUCCUUGUCUCCUUCUCUGCACACUUUUAUAGGAACAUCAUCCAGAAAAGGCAUAGUCUUUUCCAUAAUAAAAUCUCUCAAUACCUUAUUCAUCCCAUUCAUCAUAUGCGCAACUGAGUUGGUCGCGCCUUGAGGAUGAGUGCACAUUCUAACCAAUCCAAGUGGUGUCCUCAUUUUUGUCAUAUCUCUACUUCCUUCGGCAAGUUGAAAUUGAUCAUAACCUGAAUACAAGUCACCCAUUGAAUAGAUCGCCCUUCCUACAAACGCCUCAGCAAAUUCAUCCACAAUAGGUCCAAUUCUUGCAUUCUUGACAGUGACUGCAUUCACCGGUUGCAUAUCUUGAAUAAAAUGUAGUGACCCAUUUUUCUUAGGUACCCUAAACCAUCAACUAGAAUACGGCACAAAUGAGGGUUCCAAUAUUUUCAUCUUUAUCUUUUCUUUUAAUAGUUCCACCAAUUUAGGUAAAUGUGCCCUCGGUACUAGAAUCGAUCUUAGAUUCCAAGGUACAUGCGGUACAGUGAAGAUAACCAUAGGUGUUAUAAUAUUUGGAUCCACACACCCAAUUUCAUGAUAUUCGAAAGCAAACGAUCUACCUUAUUUAGCCAACAUCUUUUUGAAGCAAGUAAUUUCCUCCGGCAAUAAAGAACCAUCACAACCAAUCUUCAAUUCUUUAAAAGUCUCUUUAGUAAACUAAUGUCUAAUACUCAUUGGAUCUCUUAAACUUGCUUCUUUUGAUGCUUCUCCCAUUUAUUCUUUAGAAUCUUCUGGCAAUGGUCCGACAACAGGCUUUACCUUCUUAUCUGUCGUUUUAUAUCUCGUCUCUACAAUGACUUCUGGUGCUUGAAAAGAUUCAAGUAUGGUAUAAACCUCUCUUGAAUGAAUUUCAACAAUCUUAUCAUUAUCUCCUAACCCAAUAGAUGUAAUCAAUUUCAAUGAAUCUUCCAAUCCAUUUUCUUCAUAAACACCUAAAAUCCUCUCAUCAUCUUACAAUGUACCUAACUUGCAUAAUUCUCUUUCAAUAUUAUAUAAUCUUUUUCUUUCUUUUCUUUUAAAAUCAUCAACUUUCUUAUACAUAAUAUUUCCAUUUUCCAAUAUAUUAAUAAAACUCGUAUCAAAGGUAUCUUCAUCUCGUGAGAGUACCUCCUCUUUUGUACCUCCAUAAUCUCACUUUACAAUGGUACCUCCUCAAAAUCCUUAAAUCCUUCAACAAUCUUUGACAAUGGUUUCUCCCUCAACCUAUCUCGAUUCCGUUCAUGGUUAAGAGGUACUGUUAGAAAUUGUACAACUUUCUUCCCAUCCUCGCUACGUACCCUUGCAUAAGCAGAGCCAUCGUCUAGUACUUUUGUUUCCAUCCGUGUUGCCAUAAUAUAAGGUUGUCCUAAAAUCAACGGAUAAGACGUUGUAUCUUGAACAAAAAAAUAUUGCUCCGUCGCAACAUCCCUAAUCCGAAUUUUGACAUCUGGACAAGCUCUAUAUAAUUCGCCUCGUGUGUUAUUAGUUGCUUGUAUUGCCCAUCCAUGUUCCAUAUCAAUUGGCCAUUUUUGCUUCUUAUAAAGAUCUUUAGACAUGAGAUUUAUUUCAGGACCAUGGUCGACUAAAGCAACAAUUGGUUCUUCUAUAUCUCCUACUUUCACCAAUACCUCAGUAGUUACCCUUGCCCAAUGCUUUUGAGUAUAAUGGCUCAAAGUUUCCAUUUCCUUGUCACUAUAAUCUUCGAAACGUACUCGCUGAUUAUACCCAUUCUUUUCAUUUGUUGGUUGCUUGUAACUAAUAUCAACCUCUUCUUCAUCUUUAUAUAUUCUUGCAUCAAUAGCAUGACUCAUUCCAGUUUCGCUCAUUAAUUGCCUCUUUCGCUUAAUGCUGUCAAUGAUAACAUCAUGAAACUCCUUCUUUGCAAUUCUCAGGACUUCUUUCAAUGUGAAUUCCACCUUAGCAUUUAAUAUACGUUCUUCCAACAUCCCUUUCAAAUUUGUUGCCGCUUCAAUGUCAGAAAAUAGCUUAUAAGUAAUUGAUUUGCCCUUAUCUUUUGUCUCCCUUGUUUUUUCUUCCAAUGAUGCUGAGGUAUCUUUUAUAGGCAAUUCUUGUGAAGCUGCCUCCCGAGCCUUGUCUCCUCGAGUUUGCCUCUUAGAAGAAUUCCCUUCUCUGGUAUCAUCAAAAUUUCCUCGUCUCUCUUCUUCCACCAAAGCUUCAUGUUGGCUCUUAGCAAUAUAUGCAUGAACUGAAAGAGACUCAACAGGAUCCUCUCAACCUGUUGCACCUCGUAUUGUAGCUGCAGUCCUCAAUAACGCUUCUCGAGGUAAUUUCCCUUCUUGUAUUGUAGAAAUAACAGAAGCCCAAAACUCACUAGUUUUCGUUCUUCCACCAAAGUCAUCAUCUACUCUAGCACCAUAACUUGCACUUUCUUAUGCUGUUAUUUCAUGCACUUUUAAGUAAUCUUGAACCAAUGCUCUCAUUCUUCCCUUGCCAAAAUUGGUUUGAAGAAGAUCCUCCCUAUCUUUUAAUGCUAUCUUCCCAUCUUUCCAGUAAAUAAUUCCUUGCCGUAUCAUAUUAUUUAAUUCAUUGCAAUCGUUUCUAGUGUGUGAAGCGUCAUCACACCAAAUGCAUCUUUGUACAUAUCCUUGUUUUGAAACAUUCUUCCAAUUAUUUGUAGAAGUAUUUUCUUCAAGUCUUGUCAAUUUGAUUUGAAGAUCUCGCAUUCCUCAUAUAAUUUCUUCCAUCUUCAUAUCUGCUUUCUUUGAUAAGGAUGUCGAAGGUUGAACUGUAGGCAUUGUUGGUGGUGUUGUACGUACUGGAGCUUUGGGUGCUUAUACUGUUUUUGGAAUAUUGCUCCUAUCCUUCCUCCUUUCUCUUUUUGCAAGAUAUCCUACCGCAUCUUCAACGUUCUUCCACUUUGUUGUCAAUCCUUCAUCUUCUUCUUUGUCUUCAAGAAGGAUUUCCAAUUUCCCUUACAAUUUAUCAUUAGCAGCUUGAAGAAAUAGAUCAACUUUGUUCGGCUCUAAUGUUAAUUUUUCUACCUUUGAUAAUUGAGAGUACUGCCUCUCAAAUUUCUUUAGUAGCUCUGUUGCUUGCUAAUUCUUAUGAAGCCAUUUAAUCCAUUCCAGAAACAGCUUCUUAGUAAUGCGAUCAGCAUCUUCUAAGAAAUAUUUAUCUUUCAAUACAUGUGAAAAAACCUCCCAUGAAUUUCCAUAACGAUCCAUAAUCGAUGUAAUAUGGUCUCUUAUCUCUAGUAUCGUGGCAAGUCCAAAUAAUUCAACCAUUUUCUUCUCAGAAACCCGAUUUAAUUCCAUUUCACGAACAUAACAUCUUAAAUACCUUGAAAUAUUCCUUCCAUCAAAUUGAUCAAUUUUAUUGACCACUGCUUGUAAUGCUUUGGUUGCCAAAGCUUCUUUUCGAUCAUUGCUUUGCUGUUGCUGCAUUGAUAUUGAGAAGGCUUAAAACAUACUAGCAAUAGACGGAUCCAUGUGCAUACCUUGUCCUUUAGAAAAACCCCCACCAGAAACUCCUCCAAAAGAUCCUUCAAAAUUUUUAUUUUCGUUUUCCAUAAAAAUAAAAAUAAAAUCAAACGAAAUCCAAUACCUUCUAUCUCAAGCUUUCACGUUGGGUUCACCACUUAUGUCGUAUUACGUGCUUUCUUGCUCGAGAAUGCACCGGGCGUGUGGCUGUAGAAUGUAGUAUGGAGAUUCACCAAUAUUCAAGCAGUCUAUCGGUUAUUAACUGUUGAAAUAUAAACGAUUGCAAGAAUACACCAUAAAUCUAUAUGGAUAUCCUUCGACUGCUUGCCGAAGUCCUUUUUGCCCCAGCCAGUAGGUCUCUAGAUAUUACAGAGAACCCCGAACAACCCAAACUACUAAUCUUCGAUACCGCUUUAUACUCACGAUCUUGUAUCCACUCACUGUCUUGUUAGAUGAACCCAAUAAAUUUCAUUCACUUUGCAUACUCAAUCCUAUAGACACCCUUUUAAUUCUUCAAUCACAGACGUAACUUUGAUUUCACAAAACAGUCAAGAAUAAUCAAACCCACUUCAUUAAAAAUCCCGAUUCACCAUUACAACACUGACUUCAGCAACGAUUGCCUCAGUCUUCCCAAAAUCCUAUGAAGAAAAAAACCCAAUUCUCUGUCUUUUCUUCCCCAACCCGAAGCAUGAAGCUCUUUCCUUGAUCUUUCUCAAAACCUUCAAAAAAACUAUUUUUUUCCCCCCUCUCAUUUCUUAACCUUAAUUCUAAAUUUCUUCAAUCUUCCAUCUUGGAUCCAAAAUUGGCUCCCGUCGUCAGAGCUUGGAUCUGAAAUUGGCUCUCGUCGUCAGAGCUUUCUCCUCCGUUUUUACCCUAAAGAGAUCCUUUUAUCAAAAAGACGUUCGUAGAACAGCACAAAGGACGGAACAGCCUGAAACGGAAUCGGAGCCCUAUAAUCGGGACCACAUUGAGUCGUCCGACCAAUUCAGGUCUCAUAUUGGGUAAGAGUCUAGUAGUAAGACCUGGAUGUUUCCGUAAUUGGAUCAAAUUGGUCCUUUGCGUCAGAUUGGCUGAGGCCCAUAGUAAGAUGUGGAUUUUCUUGUAAUUAGACUGCAUUGGGUUGCCAGACCAAUUCAGGUCUCAUAUUGGGUAAGAGGACCCGGAUUGGAGGUCUUGAAAUUAGAUCCAAUUGGCUCUUCGAACUAGGAUCACCCAUCGUUGAAUUGGUCCUUUUUCUUUUUUGCUGACUCAUGUUAUUGGAAUCGAACAAAGCAUUUGAGUAUGUCCCAGCUGACUGUAACAGGGUGACUGACCUUGACCUCCCAGUAUUUGCACUGGAAUUGGUCAUUGCCUUCAAUAUUCGAGGUAACUAAAUAUUAAUAAAAGUCCCCUUUCUUUAUAUUUUCACGGUAUACUCGUGUUACAACAUGACAACGUCAGGUUCACCAAAUAUGUCGUAAUAUGUGAAGUCUUACUUGAGAAUGCUCCGGGCACUUGGCUGUAGAAGAAAGAAUAGAAAUUGCGAUAACAAAAUCCUAAUUCUAAUAGAAUACUAACAAUGCUCUAAUUAGACUAUAAUAAUAGUAUACAAACGUAAUCAAAUUCAAAAUAACUCAAAGAAAUUUCAAACAAACAAUAAAAUUCUUAAAGAAAUAUUAGAAUGAAUACAAAUACUACUCAAAUAUAUGUCAAUUCAACCUUAAUUUAAUUCUAGUUAAAAUCCUUUUGAAUUUCAUUCAAACUUUAGACCAAACCUAAUUAAAUCUUAAAUUCUAAUAAAUCCUAAAUCAUAAGUCAAAUCCUAAACAAACCUUAAAUUAAAUCCUAAAUCAAAUCCUAUUUCAAACCCUAAAUCCUAAACCAAAUCCUAAACCGUAAUCCAAACUCUAAUCCAAUCCUAAACUCUAAUCCAAAUCCUAAAUCCUAAACCAAAUCUUAAAUCAAAUCCUAAUCCAAACCCUAAAUCAAACCCUAAUCAAACCCUAAACCCUAAUCUAAAUCCUAAUCCAAAUCCUAA